GAUCAUGGCUCAGGACGAACGCUGGCGGCGCGCCUAACACAUGCAAGUCGAACGAGCGAGAGAGAGUUUACUUUCUCAAGCGAGUGGCGAACGGGUGAGUAACGCGUGAGGAACCUGCCUCAAAGAGGGGGACAACAGUUGGAAACGACUGCUAAUACCGCAUAAGCCCACGACCCGGCAUCGGGUAGAGGGAAAAGGAGCAAUCCGCUUUUAGAUGGCCUCGCGUCCGAUUAGCUAGUUGGUGAGGUAACGG
This 253-nucleotide ribosomal RNA is filed under the name uncultured bacterium. Its description in RNAcentral is "partial 16S ribosomal RNA". It matches the Rfam family "Bacterial small subunit ribosomal RNA", at positions 15 to 263 of the family's 1533-position model. The record is from RNAcentral.